UGAUCUCCAGCCUCUGCCCCUCCACAUUCCCUCUCCCAACUCUUCAGGACUCAGGGAUCCGGGGAGCCUUCCCUCGUUCUCUCUCGAAGAACAAAUGAAAUUUCACAGUUUACCGUCUGGGCGAUGUUAGAUCAGCUUGUGUCUUAAACUUGGUCUUGAGAGGGUGACCUAGAAAGAAAUUGCCCAAAGAAUGCGAACUAUUCACUUAUGAAUGUGAAUUAUCUGCCUACAAAGGAUGCAUUUUCUGGGGAAAACUCUUGUCAUUUCAACAGGAACAACGAAAUUGGGCAAAAGGGAUUCACUGCUGAAUUCCCUGAUAAGCUGCCUCAGUUUCCUCACUGCAACUGAGAAAAGAAAUGUCUGCAAAGACAAAGAUUAAAACAAGCAUGGUUUCGUUUGGCCACUUUUUGAUAUCCCUUUUCCACAUGGCUGAAUACCAUCAGUUCACCAUUCCAGGCAGACAGCAAGGGGCAAAGUUUGGCAGGAAAUGCCAGAAAGCAGCAUCCCACCAAUGUUCUGAUCUGUCCGCUGUGCCUCUGACGUCAGUCGCACAAAGGGUAAAAACCAGCUCAUCAGCUUUCCCGAUGGCUGCAUAGCCUUGGAAGUGGCUGUUUGAAAGACGGUUUUAAGAGACCUGUAAAAGUGAGUCCACGGACUGGGCUCCAAGAUGAUACCACUGGAGGACUCAGCACCUGGUUUUCUUGGCCAGGGCCCCUCAGAUGCCUUCCACGUAGGCUCCACAGCAAAGAACCCCACUCCUUACCUUUUCAGCUGGGAAAAGGGUGUGAGAGGGUGGUUCUGAUGACAGCAGUAGGUUUAACCCUACAAAAUCAUGGGUUAAGCAACUGCUAAAUGUAAAGAUCCACCAAAUCUAUCUGUUCUUUGUGGUCAAUGUCUGUCCAGCAGCUGCUGGCUCUAAAGGAACCACCAAGAUGGUACCCCAGCCUUGUUAGGGCAACUUGUGGAAAGCCAUUGAGCCUGGACAACAGGAAAUGAUUCUCCUUUGAACUCAGUCCUUAUGGGGGGAGACUUGGCUGAGUUUUUCUGUGAUCUGCCAGGCUGGGGUAGGG
This 1070-nucleotide long non-coding RNA is filed under the name Equus caballus (horse). RNAcentral's name for it is "lncRNA (ENSECAG00000052132.1)". Lineage: Eukaryota; Metazoa; Chordata; Mammalia; Perissodactyla; Equidae. The record is from RNAcentral.